RNAcentral lists this transfer RNA (77 nucleotides) under Rhizobium phage RHph_TM61. RNAcentral's name for it is "tRNA-Glu". It matches the Rfam family "tRNA". Rfam says of the family: Transfer RNA (tRNA) molecules are approximately 80 nucleotides in length. Lineage: Duplodnaviria; Heunggongvirae; Uroviricota; Caudoviricetes; Kleczkowskaviridae. RNAcentral also lists the same sequence under 5 other names. The record is from RNAcentral.
AUUCCCUUGGACAAGCGGUUUAAGUCAUCUCACUUUCACUGAGAAGAUCACGGGUUCAAAUCCCGUAGGGAAUACCA